GGGGCAUUAGCGCAGUUGGGAGCGCGUUUGAAUGGCAUUCAAAAGGUCGUGGGUUCGAAUCCCAUAUGCUCCA
RNAcentral lists this transfer RNA (73 nucleotides) under Clostridium sp. RNAcentral describes it as "tRNA-Ala". It matches the Rfam family "tRNA". From Rfam's summary of the family: Transfer RNA (tRNA) molecules are approximately 80 nucleotides in length. Their secondary structure includes four short double-helical elements and three loops (D, anti-codon, and T loops). Lineage: Bacteria; Bacillati; Bacillota; Clostridia; Eubacteriales; Clostridiaceae. RNAcentral also lists the same sequence under 14 other names. The record is from RNAcentral.